AUUGAACGCUGGCGGCAGGCCUAACACAUGCAAGUCGAGCGAGCGGCGGACGUGUUAGUAAUUUCUGGGAAACUGCCUGAUGGAGUGGGGUAACUACUGGAAACGGUAGCUAAUACCGCAUCCCAUCAGAUAGGCCCAGAUGGGAUUAGCUAGUAGGUGGGGUAAUGGCUCACCUAGGCGACGAUCCCUACCUGGUCUGUGAGGAUGACCAGCCACACUGGAACUGAGACACGGUCCAGACUCCUACGGGAGGCAGCAUUGGGGAAUAUUGCACAAUGGGCGCAAGCCUGAUGCAGCCAUGCCGCGUGUGUGAAGAAGGCCUUCGGGUUGUAAAGCACUUUCAGCGGGGAGGCGUUACCCGCAGAAGAAGCACCGGCUAACUCCGUGCCAGCAGCCGCGGUAAUUC
Molecule: ribosomal RNA, 406 nt
Filed under: uncultured bacterium
Lineage: Bacteria
Description: partial 16S ribosomal RNA
Rfam family: Bacterial small subunit ribosomal RNA
Source: RNAcentral